This 250-nucleotide unclassified non-coding RNA is filed under the name plant metagenome. Its description in RNAcentral is "partial contains small subunit ribosomal RNA, internal transcribed spacer 1, and 5.8S ribosomal RNA". The record is from RNAcentral.
GUAGGUGAACCUGCGGAAGGAUCAUUACAAUAUAAAAAGGCCGCAAGGCCGCCCCCGCGGCGUUUGCUCUUGCAGCUUGCGCCAAAGGGAAACACUUUGUGAAAACCCCUCGUUGCUUUCGGCGGCACUCCCCCAAAUGCGGGGGGGGUUAGUCCGCCGAAUGGCACCCCCAAAAAUUCUUUUUUUAAUAUAAGCUGUCUGAAAAAUCAAGUCGAAUUGACUAUAAAACUUUCAACAACGGAUCUCUUGG